GGAGCUCUCCCAUAUGGUCGACCUGCAGGCGGCCGCGAAUUCACUAGUGAUUCGUAUUACCGCGGCUGCUGGCACAUAGUUAGCCGGUGCUUAUUCUUCAGGUACCGUCAUUAGCAGGAGAUAUUAGCCCCCACCGUUUCUUCCCUGACAAAAGAGCUUUACAACCCGAAGGCCUUCUUCACUCACGCGGCAUUGCUGGAUCAGGCUUGCGCCCAUUGUCCAAAAUUCCCCACUGCUGCCUCCCGUAGGAGUCUGGACCGUGUCUCAGUUCCAGUGUGGCUGGUCGUCCUCUCAGACCAGCUACUGAUCGAUGCCUUGGUAGGCCUUUACCCCACCAACUAGCUAAUCAGAUAUCGGCCGCUCCAGGAGCAUGAGGUCUUGCGAUCCCCCACUUUCAUCCUUAGAUCGUAUGCGGUAUUAGCGUAACUUUCGCUACGUUAUCCCCCACUCCAGGGUACGUUCCGAUAUAUUACUCACCGUUCGCCACUCGCCGCCAGGUUGCCCCGCGCUGCCGUUCGACUUGCAUGUGUAAGGCAUGCCCCCAGCGUUCAAUCUGAGCCAUGAUCAAACUCUAAUCGAAUUCCCGCGGCCGCCAUGGCGGCCGG
RNAcentral lists this ribosomal RNA (605 nucleotides) under uncultured bacterium. RNAcentral describes it as "partial 16S ribosomal RNA". The record is from RNAcentral.